This is a non-coding RNA of Lolium perenne, 1667 nucleotides long. NCBI's taxonomy places the organism in Eukaryota, Viridiplantae, Streptophyta, Magnoliopsida, Poales, Poaceae. The record is from RefSeq and is a predicted model, not a curated record.
CUGGAGCAACCCACUAAAAGUAAUUCUCUCAACAUGCAAGCUAUACACAUCAGCAAGAAUCUAAUUGGUUCACGUCACCCAGCCUAUCAAUUAUUAUUUUUUAGCAAACAUUUGUGCGGGCGUUCCAUCGCUUCCUUCCCCUUCAUCUCUCUUCUGCAACUGCUUGCGAGUAUCUUAAGCGUCAGCAAUCACUAAACUCUUCCUGGCUCUCCUAGCUACCCAAUUUAUUGUGCAUCCGUUUCCUAUUAAUCAAUCUCCUGAGUAGACCCGUGAAUAACUGCCCUCUAUAUAAAACCUUAGCUUUAGUGUCCAUCUGUUUAGACAUAAUCAAUUAGAAGAUCUCCACGAGAUCGUCAUGGUCGCGUUCAGCCAUCUUCCGUGUGUUUCAUUGCAGAUGUGGUAUAGUGAUGGUAAACUGGUGAUACACUCAUACAUCUUGAUUUCCUGCAACUUCCCGCAGUUCGUCUCUCCCUCCCUGUCAGAGUACUGGGUUUGGACGUUUGGUGCUCCAAGGUGAAACAGGUAUCAGGUUCCGGUAAUUGCGAUUAUAUAUCUUUCCGCCCCUUGAAAAUUGCUUGGUUUCACCAAUGUUUAAUUUCAAGAUUGCAUGAAGAACUUUGGUGGGGUUCCACCGUGGAGUACUAAAUCUUCACGUUACCUUCUCUUAGUUGGUUUGAUUGAUCCCUUGCCACCAUAUUAUCCCCAGCAGAAUCAUCAUAUGCAGGUACAAAUAAAACUAGCAUCGAUUUUACAGCUUUACUCAGCAUGGCUAUCGCUUCACAAUAUCAGCAGAAGUGGAUACGUUGAUCGCUGUAUCAUGAACAAAGAGUUGGAUGUGUUGCAUAUUCUAUCAAUAUAAGGGGUGAUAAACACAUAUAUCUAUGCAGCUAAUUUCCAGAUCUGAGAUGUGUACAUAUGCAGCGACUUAAUAUAUCAAGAUAUACAUGAGGCACAUCUUCCUCUUAUCAGUGUCACUGUGGGGCUUUGCUAUGUUUCAGUGGCCGGUAGCCGUCUAUGUUGAUCCAAAUGAAGGACCUGAACAAGCAGCUAUUCUAUGUUGGCGAAGAGCUACGGAAAUCGAAAAAGGGGAAUGUCAAGGGCCACGCUUCGGAAAUUUCGAGACAAACAAAUAAGCUAAACUGGGGCACCAGGAGGUCAAUGGCUAGGAACAAGGCCCAGUGGCACGCCCACCCACAUAGAGCUUGAUGGAGUGUAACUCACACGUUCGUUGGGAACCCCAAGAGGAAGGUAUGAUGCGCACAGCAGCAAGUUUUCCCUCAGAAAGAAACCAAGGUUUAUCGAACCAGGAGGAGCCAAGAAGCACGUUGAAGGUUGAUGGCGGCGGGAUGUAGUGCGGCGCAACACCAGGGAUUCCGGCGCCAACGUGGAACCUGCACAACACAACCAAAGUACUUUGCCCCAACGAAACAGUGAGGUUGUCAAUCUCACCGGCUUGCUGUAACAAAGGAUUAACCGUAUUGUGUGGAAGAUGAUUGUUUGCAGAAAAACAGUAGAACAGUAUUGCAGUAGAUUGUAUUUUAGUAUAGAGAAUUGGACCGGGGUCCACAGUUCACUAGAGGUGUCUCUCCCAUAAAGAUAAACAGCAUGUUGGGUGAACAAAUUACAGUUGGGCAAUUGACAAAUAAAGAGGGCAUGACCAUGCACAU